AUACGGAGGGUGCAAACGUUGUUCGGAAUCACUGGGCGUAAAGGGCGCGCAGGCGGUUUGAUUAGUCAGAUGUGAAAGCCCACGGCUUAACCGUGGAAGUGCAUUUGAAACUGUCAGACUUGAGUACCAGAGGGGGUAGUGGAAUUCCCGGUGUAGAGGUGAAAUUCGUAGAUAUCGGGAGGAAUACCGGUGGCGAAGGCGACUACCUGGCUGGAUACUGACGCUGAGGCGCGAAAGCGUGGGGAGCAAACAGGAUUAGAAACCCGAGUAGUCC
RNAcentral lists this ribosomal RNA (274 nucleotides) under uncultured bacterium. RNAcentral describes it as "partial 16S ribosomal RNA". It matches the Rfam family "Bacterial small subunit ribosomal RNA", at positions 523 to 796 of the family's 1533-position model. The record is from RNAcentral.